Molecule: non-coding RNA, 74 nt
Organism: Myotis lucifugus (little brown bat)
Lineage: Eukaryota; Metazoa; Chordata; Mammalia; Chiroptera; Vespertilionidae
Source: Rfam
GGCGGUUCUCUGGUGACACAACCGGAAUUAGGCUCCCUCCUCCCUGGUUUUAGGUGCAUCGCCCAAGAACCACC